Molecule: ribosomal RNA, 253 nt
Filed under: uncultured bacterium
Lineage: Bacteria
Description: partial 16S ribosomal RNA
Rfam family: Bacterial small subunit ribosomal RNA
Source: RNAcentral
CACGUAGGGGACGAGCGUUGUCCGGAUUCAUUGGGCGUAAAGCGCGCGUAGGCGGCUCGGAAAGUCGGUCGUGAAAUGCCGGGGCUCAACCCCGGGACUGCGUCCGAUACUCUCGAGCUGGAGGCAGGUAGGGGAGAUCGGAAUUCCUGGUGUAGCGGUGAAAUGCGCAGAUAUCGGGAGGAACACCUAUGGCGAAGGCAGCUCGCUGGGACGUUACUGACGCUGAGACGCGAAAGCGUGGGGAGCAAACAGG